Long non-coding RNA from Homo sapiens (human), 562 nucleotides. RefSeq lists it as uncharacterized. The record is from RefSeq and is a predicted model, not a curated record. The transcript is spliced from 2 exons. NCBI's taxonomy places the organism in Eukaryota, Metazoa, Chordata, Mammalia, Primates, Hominidae.
AACCUGAAACUCAGAUGUGCAUUCGCCUGGUUCAAAACUGGACCCGUUACACUGCAAUGGUGCUGAGCAGGUGCCAAUUGCCCCAUCCUGCGGAUGUCCAGAAUGCUUCCUUUUAUGCCAUCCCCCACAUACUCAAGGGAGGGAGGGAAAAGAAUGGGCUGGGAGCUACCCCGGGGUGGGGAAGGGGAAGCGGCCAAUGCAUUCCAUUCCCACGGCAUUCAGUGUGCAGUUGCAGUUGCCAACCACCCCUGGAAAUGCAGACUUGCCUCACCAGCCCCUUGGAAAACAUGCCAGGUCGCAGGCAGCCCCUUGAGGCCAGGUCUCUAGUAAAGCUUGCCUCUGGAUGGCUGCAGAUGGAAAGGACUUGGUUCUUAGCACCCAGGAAGAAUCUCUCUCAAUUGAUUAUUUACUUAUUAAGGCAACGAGGAUCCAAGCAGACAUGGAUUCAUGCAGGGCUUGUGCCAGCCUGCAGCCUCCAGCUCUCUCCAGGAACCAGACCUCUCUCAUCCCGCUUCUGGAACAGCGCUGCUACAGAUGCAAUAAACAUUUACGGUGCAUCUAC